GCAAGAGCCCGGAGAUGGAUUCUGAGACAUGAAUCCAGGCCCUACGGGGCGCAGCAGGCGCGAAAACUUUACAAUGCGGGAAACCGUGAUAAGGGGACACCGAGUGCCAGCAUCAUAUGCUGGCUGUCCGGAUGUGUAAAAUACAUCCGUUAGCAAGGGCCGGGCAAGACCGGUGCCAGCCGCCGCGGUAACACCGGCGGCCCGAGUGGUGAUCGUGAUUAUUGGGUCUAAAGGGUCCGUAGCCGGUUUGGUCAGUCCUCCGGGAAAUCUGAUAGCUCAACUAUUAGGCUUUCGGGGGAUACUGCCAGACUUGGAACCGGGAGAGGUAAGAGGUACUACAGGGGUAGGAGUGAAAUCUUGUAAUCCCUGUGGGACCACCUGUGGCGAAGGCGUCUUACCAGAACGGGUUCGACGGUGAGGGACGAAAGCUGGGGGCACGAACCGGAUUAGAUACCCGGGUAGUCCCAGCCGUAAACGAUGCUCGCUAGGUGUCAGGCAUGGCGCGACCGUGUCUGGUGCCGCAGGGAAGCCGUGAAGCGAGCCACCUGGGAAGUACGGCCGCAAGGCUGAAACUUAAAGGAAUUGGCGGGGGAGCACAACAACGGGUGGAGCCUGCGGUUUAAUUGGACUCAACGCCGGACAACUCACCGGGGGCGACAGCAAUAUGUAGGCCAAGCUGAAGACUUUGCCUGAAUCGCUGAGAGGAGGUGCAUGGCCGUCGCCAGUUCGUACUGUGAAGCAUCCUGUUAAGUCAGGCAACGAGCGAGACCCGUGCCCACUGUUACCAGCAUGUCCUCCGGGACGAUGGGUACUCUGUGGGGACCGCCGAUGUUAAAUCGGAGGAAGGUGCGGGCCACGGUAGGUCAGUAUGCCCCGAAUCUCCCGGGCUACACGCGGGCUACAAUGGAUGGGACAAUGGGUCCCUCCCCUGAAAAGGGCUGGUAAUCUCACAAACCCAUUCGUAGUUCGGAUCGAGGGCUGUAACUCGCCCUCGUGAAGCUGGAAUCCGUAGUAAUCGCGU
This 1021-nucleotide ribosomal RNA is filed under the name Methanosarcina mazei. RNAcentral's name for it is "bacterial SSU rRNA". It matches the Rfam family "Archaeal small subunit ribosomal RNA", at positions 282 to 1303 of the family's 1478-position model. The record is from RNAcentral. Lineage: Archaea; Methanobacteriati; Methanobacteriota; Methanomicrobia; Methanosarcinales; Methanosarcinaceae.